UCCUACUAGCCACCGCAACCUUGUGGAGAUAUUUGUAUUCAAGUCCCCUUCUCCAACCAUAACACCCUCGAUUUUUGCCUCCAACUAAUCUUAUGAGCUAUAGCCAAAGAAGCUAGCUCUUUUUAACUCCUUCCUCACCUUUUCCCUAUUCACUAACCCCGUCUUCCUUUCUACCAUCUCUAACUCUCUCACCUCGUGAAUGACCAUUUUUACCUUGACCUCUACCCUGCCAAAUCUCUUAAGCAUCUUUAGUUUCCUUGCAAGUCGGAAAGACGAGUUCCCUACCACCACAUAAUUACUCCACCACCCUGCCGCUCUUUUCCUAUGUCUGACGCCUUCAACCAUAUAUUUUCAAAUCUAAAAGGAUCUCUCGCCCUCCUCCCCCACACACCCUGCCGCUCUUUUCCUAUGUCUGACGCCUUCAACCAUAUAUUUUCA
RNAcentral lists this long non-coding RNA (438 nucleotides) under Nicotiana benthamiana. RNAcentral's name for it is "long non-coding RNA (NBEN_LNC009616)". Lineage: Eukaryota; Viridiplantae; Streptophyta; Magnoliopsida; Solanales; Solanaceae. The record is from RNAcentral.